CAACCCUAAAAAAACAGAAUACAAAAUGUUUUUUUAACGUUAAUUUACACGUCUCAGGCUGCAGUUCAGUUUUGAUGGAAGAGGCGUCCCAGAAUGCACCACAUCAGCAGAAGCAGAAGUUAGAGAAAACCUCACAUCUGAUGUUCAUGUAUUGUCCUGCAUUUCCACAUUUCUCUGCAUGUUUCACAACUUUCAAACUGUCUCUUGACACAAAGCGGAAUCAUUUCUCACAAGCGAGUGUCAGCGUGGACGUGAGGAUGGGACACACCUUGUUUGGUGCGUUGGGGCUUUUCUCGCUGAAUAUUCUCCUCUACUGUGGACACGCUCAAGAUCCUCGUCCUGUCCUUACAGUGUCUCCAUCUUGGACGAGUCCUGGAGACUCAGUGACUCUGACCUGCAGUGUUGGACCUCCGUCUGCAGGAUGGAGGUUCUUCUGGUAUAAGGCUGUUCCACACAUGUCACGCUACACCUACUACACCUAUGAGCUUCUAGCUGGUGGCACCACUGGGACUGAACAGGAUUCCUACAUUCUUCAU
Non-coding RNA from Gasterosteus aculeatus aculeatus (three-spined stickleback), 536 nucleotides. The record is from RefSeq and is a predicted model, not a curated record. Lineage: Eukaryota; Metazoa; Chordata; Actinopteri; Perciformes; Gasterosteidae.